This 301-nucleotide ribosomal RNA is filed under the name uncultured bacterium. Its description in RNAcentral is "partial 16S ribosomal RNA". It matches the Rfam family "Bacterial small subunit ribosomal RNA", at positions 512 to 808 of the family's 1533-position model. The record is from RNAcentral.
CAGCCGCCGGGUAAUACAGAGGGUGCGAGCGUUAAUCGGAUUUACUGGGCGUAAAGCGUGCGUAGGCGGCUUCUUAAGUCGGAUGUGAAAUCACUGAGCUUAACUUAGGAAUUGCAUUCGAUACUGGGAAGCUAGAGUAUGGGAGAGGAUGGUAGAAUUCCAGGUGUAGCGGUGAAAUGCGUAGAGAUCUGGAGGAAUACCGAUGGCGAAGGCAGCCAUCUGGCCUAAUACUGACGCUGAGGUACGAAAGCAUGGGGAGCAAACAGGAUUAGAUACCCCAGUAGUCCCUGUCUCUUAUACA